Molecule: ribosomal RNA, 466 nt
Filed under: uncultured bacterium
Lineage: Bacteria
Description: partial 16S ribosomal RNA
Rfam family: Bacterial small subunit ribosomal RNA
Source: RNAcentral
GAUGAACGCUGGCGGCGUGCUUAACACAUGCAAGUCGAACGGAAAGGCUCCUGCUUGCAGGGGUACUCGAGUGGCGAACGGGUGAGUAACACGUGGGUGAUCUGCCCUGCACUUCGGGAUAAGCCUGGGAAACUGGGUCUAAUACCGGAUAGGACGAUGGUUUGGAUGCCAUUGUGGAAAGUUUUUUCGGUGUGGGAUGAGCUCGCGGCCUAUCAGCUUGUUGGUGGGGUAAUGGCCUACCAAGGCGUCGACGGGUAGCCGGCCUGAGAGGGUGUACGGCCACAUUGGGACUGAGAUACGGCCCAGCCUCCUACGGGAGGCAGCAGUGGGGAAUAUUGCACAAUGGGCGCAAGCCUGAUGCAGCGACGCCGCGUGGGGGAUGACGGCCUUCGGGUUGUAAACUCCUUUCGCUAGGGACGAAGCGAAAGUGACGGUACCUGGAGAAGAAGCACCGGCUAACUACGUG